Molecule: unclassified non-coding RNA, 22 nt
Filed under: Chlamydomonas reinhardtii
Lineage: Eukaryota; Viridiplantae; Chlorophyta; Chlorophyceae; Chlamydomonadales; Chlamydomonadaceae
Description: small RNA Cre_4052
Source: RNAcentral
UUGUCCGCGGUGAAGCUGGAGC